CGAAGAUUCGGGUCACAGUACGGAGUGGCCAAACUGCACGUUGAUGGAAACAAAGACAUUUCCUGUCAUUAGGAUUCUCUCUCCGCGACAAUAGAGCCGGAAGUGGCCCAGGGCAUCCAGGAGGCCGUGGACACCCCUGCUGAUGCUUUUCUGAGUCAGAGCUGCAGGUUUCCGUCUGAGCUGGGUGGCGACUUUGGCUGCCAGAUGGAAGAAGAAAAAGCCCAUCAAAUUCACAAAUGCAGUCAUGUGUCGUUUCUGCUCAGCCACAUCUGGAGAGAUACCUAAAUGGGCUGGUGAUCUCAAGGACUUGAUGACCUCGAUCGCAGUUCCAGACACCAAGGGGAA
Long non-coding RNA from Hipposideros armiger (great roundleaf bat), 345 nucleotides. RefSeq lists it as uncharacterized. NCBI's taxonomy places the organism in Eukaryota, Metazoa, Chordata, Mammalia, Chiroptera, Hipposideridae. The record is from RefSeq and is a predicted model, not a curated record. The transcript has 4 exons.